GACGAACGCUGGCGGCGUGCCUAAUACAUGCAAGUAGAACGCUGAAGAGAGGAGCUUGCUCUUCUUGGAUGAGUUGCGAACGGGUGAGUAACGCGUAGGUAACCUGCCUUGUAGCGGGGGAUAACUAUUGGAAACGAUAGCUAAUACCGCAUAACAAUGGAUGACACAUGUCAUUUAUUUGAAAGGGGCAAUUGCUCCACUACAAGAUGGACCUGCGUUGUAUUAGCUAGUAGGUGAGGUAACGGCUCACCUAGGCGACGAUACAUAGCCGACCUGAGAGGGUGAUCGGCCACACUGGGACUGAGACACGGCCCAGACUCCUACGGGAGGCAGCAGUAGGGAAUCUUCGGCAAUGGGGGCAACCCUGACCGAGCAACGCCGCGUGAGUGAAGAAGGUUUUCGGAUCGUAAAGCUCUGUUGUAAGUCAAGAACGAGUGUGAGAGUGGAAAGUUCACACUGUGACGGUAGCUUACCAGAAAGGGACGGCUAACUACGUGCCAGCAGCCGCGGUAAUACGUAGGUCCCGAGCGUUGUCCGGAUUUAUUGGGCGUAAAGCGAGCGCAGGCGGUUUGAUAAGUCUGAAGUUAAAGGCUGUGGCUCAACCAUAGUUCGCUUUGGAAACUGUUUAACUUGAGUGCAGAAGGGGAGAGUGGAAUUCCAUGUGUAGCGGUGAAAUGCGUAGAUAUAUGGAGGAACACCGGUGGCGAAAGCGGCUCUCUGGUCUGUAACUGACGCUGAGGCUCGAAAGCGUGGGGAGCAAACAGG
Molecule: ribosomal RNA, 765 nt
Filed under: uncultured Streptococcus sp.
Lineage: Bacteria; Bacillati; Bacillota; Bacilli; Lactobacillales; Streptococcaceae
Description: bacterial SSU rRNA
Rfam family: Bacterial small subunit ribosomal RNA
Source: RNAcentral